UGGGGAAUUUUGGACAAUGGGCGAAAGCCUGAUCCAGCCAUGCCGCGUGAGUGAAGAAGGCCUUCGGGUUGUAAAGCUCUUUUGUCCGGGAGGAAAUCCCGUAACCUAAUACGUUGCGGGGAUGACAGUACUGGAAGAAUAAGCACCGGCUAACUACGUGCCAGCAGCCGCGGUAAUACGUAGGGUGCAAGCGUUAAUCGGAAUUACUGGGCGUAAAGCGUGCGCAGGCGGUUUGAUAAGUCAGAUGUGAAAUCCCCGGGCUUAACCUGGGAACUGCGUUUGAAACUGUCAGGCUAGAGUACGUCAGAGGGGGGUGGAAUUCCACGUGUAGCAGUGAAAUGCGUAGAGAUGUGGAGGAACACCGAUGGCGAAGGCAGCCCCCUGGGAUGAUACUGACGCUCAUGCACGAAAGCGUGGGGAGCAAACA
RNAcentral lists this ribosomal RNA (427 nucleotides) under uncultured beta proteobacterium. Its description in RNAcentral is "partial 16S ribosomal RNA". It matches the Rfam family "Bacterial small subunit ribosomal RNA", at positions 355 to 774 of the family's 1533-position model. The record is from RNAcentral. RNAcentral also lists the same sequence under 1 other name. Lineage: Bacteria; Pseudomonadati; Pseudomonadota; Betaproteobacteria.